UGCCAGCAUCCGCGGUACCACGUAAGGUGCGAGCGUUGUUCGGAAUUAUUGGGCGUAAAGGGCUCGUAGGCGGCCUGCCAAGUCCCACGUGAAAGACCAGGGCUCAACCCUGGGAACGCGAGGGAAACUGGUAAGCUGGAAUCUUGGAGGGGGUACUGGAAUUCCUGGUGUAGGGGUGAAAUCUGUUGAUAUCAGGAAGAACACCGGAGGCGAAGGCGAGUACCUGGCCAAAGAUUGACGCUGAUGAGCGAAAGCGUAGGGAGCGAACAGGAUUAGAUA
RNAcentral lists this ribosomal RNA (279 nucleotides) under uncultured bacterium. RNAcentral describes it as "partial 16S ribosomal RNA". It matches the Rfam family "Bacterial small subunit ribosomal RNA", at positions 506 to 784 of the family's 1533-position model. The record is from RNAcentral.